CUUGUGUGAUGCACAGCAUCGUAAGGACUAAGAACUUUUAGUGCCAUGGAGAGCUAGAAACCUACAGUAGCCUCACACUAAGAGUAGUCACCUCUGGAGAGCCAUCAAAUGAAAAUGCACUGUGAUUUGUUGUAAAGUCUUCUAAGACAACAUUCUUCAAGACACAGGAAUCAGAUGAACUAGAGGCUUGCAGACAUCAAGGAUGUGACUUUACUCCUGAGUUCAUGUAUGUUUUUCAUCCAUGUAGGACACUCUUUUGCUGCUCAUCCACAUAUAAAAACCUUUCACCCACGUUUAACAUGACUUUCAAUGGACAUUAUCUGGCAUGGCUGGACAUAUGGGUAAUAUCCAGAAUCUGCUUUCACUCGGGCUGCUCCACUUAGAAAUGAAGUUAAAUCACUGGAGAGCUAAUAGUCAUAUAGUGCCUUCCACAAUACUGCAGAUAUGUCCAGAAAAUCAGAAAAUUAUUCCCACAAGCUACUAAGAAUCAAGGGACGAUUCACCAGUCUGCAGCACAAAGUAUAUACAAUCUACACCUAAAAGUCUAGUGUCACAAAGGUGUACCAUCAGGGAUUGUUCACAUAUAGGCCAUGCUCAAAGCAGGGUGUCAGUUGAGCUCUCUCUGAUGUGAACUGAAGGUUUACCUUAAGUAAAUGCAGGAGCAAAAACAAGCCAUUAAUACCUUAACUGUCAGACAGUCCAAGGUAACAAUAACAUCUUGGCAUGGAUGGGGUGCUCGCUCAAAAGUAAAUUUUAUAUAUAAGAUAUAAUCAUAAUUGCCACUCACCAUAAAAGUCAAUGACUGAAUGGAGCAGAACUGGAACUACCUUGGGUGAAAUCUGGAUCCCACGGUGGUAGUUACUGGAAAUUUGGACUUCUGCCAUAUAUACACCAGAUAAAUAUGAUUUGUUUAUGCAACUCUAAAUUAAAUCUGGAUGGCAAUUUUUAUUUUAAGAUUCUUCUAAGGAGAACCCAAAUUUCAGGUUUUGCCUUUCUGAAUACCUGCUUCUACUGGCCAAAAAGAGGUCCAAAAUCCUCUGGAAAGAUUAUUAAAUUAUGAAAAAAAUGGUGCUAGAAGUAAUUAAUCCUUUGUACAAAUGACAAAUACUUACCUAACAUUUGUAUAAUACCUGGAAUGUGAAAUGCUUAGAAUAUUUAAACUUAGAUUUAUAAGUUACCUCAUCACAAAUAAGAACAAACAAACCCCCAAAUAUGCCAGUUUUUCAACUGCCUAGCAUGGAUUCCAUUUAUCCACAACUUCCAGGAUAUUACUAAUAAAAGUAAUUAGAUUUUAGGUUCCUUAUUUUUUUUUUCAGCUUGAGACAACCUUAAAAGGCUCAGUUCCUGAAAAUCAGAACCUUUGAAUAUAUAUAAAGUUGGACACCAAAAAUAUGAGACUCCCAAAACAUUGGUCACUUUCGAACUCUUGGACUAAUUUUUAAAAGUGUCUUUCAUUAAGAAGGAUUACAAGUCUUUGUUGUUUGUUUGUUUUGCAAAUCAAAGCCCAAUCUUACAAGAUGAUGAGUGCCUUUUGUACAGAUCUGAGUAGCUCUGAGGGUGUAGGGUACCUUGCAGGUUUGAAUCAUAAUUAUGUUCUUUUUGAAGUCAAUGGAAAAACUCCAGAAAGGCCUUUUGACACCUUUUGAAUCAGGCCUUGACUAACAAAGAUUAUUCAUGAGCCACUUCAAUUACCAAUCAAUCUCAGUCAUGUUUGGUUUGAUAUGUGGUAAUGUUUCACAUAGAAACUGUGCCAAAACAUCAAGAAAGAAAAUGAGGAGCUCUUACCUUGAGAAGGUCAAGUGUGAUUUAAUAUCUUAUUAUUGUAGUUUGGGCUUGAUAAUGAUGAGAACUGGAAAUGAAAUGGAAGAGAAAAAAGAAAAUAUUUGAACUCCAGUUUAAUUUUUGCUCACACAUUGAUUUGUUUAUAUAUUUACAAUAACUUCUGUACUUUCAGCUCGAUCUAGGGAGCUCAGCACCCUGAUAGUUGGCUCUGGAUGGUUUAUUGACUAUUUGAGGGACAGGGAAAAAAAAAAUUAUAUCUGCAACCUGUUUUCCUUCUAAAGCCUGCUGUCCCACAAGGGAAACAAAUGUGCAUCUGACUGUUAAAAAUGAUAACCAGUAUAAUACCUGAACAAUUAUAAAUGCCUGUGAAGAUUUCAUUUAGUUCUAUCUCAAGAGACACACUGUCUGCUAACAGUCAAAACUGAUGGGCCUUUGGGAUGGGAUUUUGUAGCCAGCACAUGUCUGCUUGUUUUGUUUUGUUUUGAAUAAUUCAACUCGCCAUUAAAAUACCAUGGGUUUUUGCAAACAUCCUCUUUCCAAGGAUCCUUUUUUCUCUCUGGAUUUCUCAUUUCACCAUAUUUUAUUUUAUUAUCUUCCAAUAAAAGUUACAAGCUA
Molecule: long non-coding RNA, 2397 nt
Organism: Alligator mississippiensis (American alligator)
Lineage: Eukaryota; Metazoa; Chordata; Crocodylia; Alligatoridae
Exons: 2
Source: RefSeq, a predicted model, not a curated record